UCAUAUCCAAUAAGACUCGAGCAAGUGCUUGUGAGCUUGUGUGAAAUAAAAGAAGUCUGAAAGCUAGCCCCAUCGCAUCUGAGUGAUCAAUGCUUUAUAAAAACACAAGGGAAUUUUAGUAAAAUAGUAUGGAUAAAUAACACACACAAAAAAAAGUGUUUUAAAAGCAUCUAUUUCUAUAAAAAAACAUAAAAAAAAAAUUGGAUCCUAGCAAGAUGAAUCACGAAUUGUUAGAAUGAUUUC
This 243-nucleotide long non-coding RNA is filed under the name Lathyrus oleraceus (garden pea). RNAcentral describes it as "Pisum sativum (pea) long non-coding RNA (PSAT_LNC009503)". The record is from RNAcentral. Lineage: Eukaryota; Viridiplantae; Streptophyta; Magnoliopsida; Fabales; Fabaceae.